CCUACGGGUGGCAGCAGUGAGGAAUAUUGGUCAAUGGGCGCGAGCCUGAACCAGCCAAGUAGCGUGAAGGAUGACUGCCCUACGGGUUGUAACCUUCUUUUAUAAAGGAAUACAGUGAGGCACGUGUGCCUUUUUGUAUGUACUUUAUGAAUAAGGAUCGGCUAACCUCGUGCCAGCAGCCGCGGUAAUCCGGAGGAUCCGAGCGUUAUCCGGAUUUAAUGGGUUUAAAGGUAGCGUAGAUGAGUUGUUAAGUCAGUUGUGAAGGUCUGCGGCUCAACCGUAAAAUUGCAAUUGAUACUGGCAGCCUUGAGUGCAGUUGAGGUAGGCGGAAUUCGUGGUGUAGCGGUGAAAUGCUUAGAUAUCACGAAGAACUCCGAUUGCGAAGGCAGCCUACUAAACUGCCACUGACAUUGAUGCUCGAAAGUGUGGGUAUCAAACAGGAUUAGAUACCCCAGUAGUC
RNAcentral lists this ribosomal RNA (460 nucleotides) under uncultured bacterium. RNAcentral describes it as "partial 16S ribosomal RNA". It matches the Rfam family "Bacterial small subunit ribosomal RNA", at positions 338 to 795 of the family's 1533-position model. The record is from RNAcentral.